GCGUGCCUAAUACAUGCAAGUCGAACGCUUCUUUCCUCCCGAGUGCUUGCACUCAAUUGGAAAGAGGAGUGGCGGACGGGUGAGUAACACGUGGGUAACCUACCCAUCAGAGGGGGAUAACACUUGGAAACAGGUGCUAAUACCGCAUAACAGUUUAUGCCGCAUGGCAUAAGAGUGAAAGGCGCUUUCGGGUGUCGCUGAUGGAUGGACCCGCGGUGCAUUAGCUAGUUGGUGAGGUAACGGCUCACCAAGGCCACGAUGCAUAGCCGACCUGAGAGGGUGAUCGGCCACACUGGGACUGAGACACGGCCCAGACUCCUACGGGAGGCAGCAGUAGGGAAUCUUCGGCAAUGGACGAAAGUCUGACCGAGCAACGCCGCGUGAGUGAAGAAGGUUUUCGGAUCGUAAAACUCUGUUGUUAGAGAAGAACAAGGACGUUAGUAACUGAACGUCCCCUGACGGUAUCUAACCAGAAAGCCACGGCUAACUACGUGCCAGCAGCCGCGGUAAUACGUAGGUGGCAAGCGUUGUCCGGAUUUAUUGGGCGUAAAGCGAGCGCAGGCGGUUUCUUAAGUCUGAUGUGAAAGCCCCCGGCUCAACCGGGGAGGGUCAUUGGAAACUGGGAGACUUGAGUGCAGAAGAGGAGAGUGGAAUUCCAUGUGUAGCGGUGAAAUGCGUAGAUAUAUGGAGGAACACCAGUGGCGAAGGCGGCUCUCUGGUCUGUAACUGACGCUGAGGCUCGAAAGCGUGGGGAGCAAACAGG
This 763-nucleotide ribosomal RNA is filed under the name uncultured Bacilli bacterium. RNAcentral's name for it is "bacterial SSU rRNA". It matches the Rfam family "Bacterial small subunit ribosomal RNA", at positions 42 to 776 of the family's 1533-position model. The record is from RNAcentral. Lineage: Bacteria; Bacillati; Bacillota; Bacilli.